Molecule: ribosomal RNA, 375 nt
Filed under: Triticum aestivum (bread wheat)
Lineage: Eukaryota; Viridiplantae; Streptophyta; Magnoliopsida; Poales; Poaceae
Description: partial small subunit ribosomal RNA
Source: RNAcentral
AUGGCAACGCGUGGCAAGACGCACCACCUACGACAUGGUGAUCCCCCUCCCAUCGAGAACCGCCAUGUAGUUUUCUCUGCCAAGGUUGUUGUCCGUGUCGGUCUGCAAUUUUUCCUGCGGCUAUGUGCAUUGCCUGCAGUGGAGUGUGGCAUAUGCUUUUGGUUUCUUGUAUUGUUUGUGGUAGAACCGAGGACCGUUGUUCUGCAUGCUCUUUAUGUGUUUUUUUUUCUUCCUUAUUUUGUUUUGUUGCUUACCCAUGUCGUGUUAGAGUGGUUACCAAGCAAACCAAUUGCAUGGCAGAUACGAUCUCUAGAAAAUGGUAGUUGUCACUCGGCUUCCAUGGGUGUGCUGUCAGGAAGGUGCAUUCCUAUGUAA